GAGUUUGAUCUUGGCUCAGGAUGAACGCCGGCGGUGUGCUUAAUACAUGCAAGUCGUACGCACUGGCCCAACUGAUUGAUGGUGCUUGCACCUGAUUGACGAUGGAUUACCAGUGAGUGGCGGACGGGUGAGUAACACGUAGGUAACCUGCCCCGGAGCGGGGGAUAACAUUUGGAAACAGAUGCUAAUACCGCAUAACAACAAAAAGCCACACGGUCUUUUGUUGAAAGAUGGCUUUGACUAUCACUCUGGAUGGACCUGCGGUGCAUUAGCUAGUUGGUAA
This 283-nucleotide ribosomal RNA is filed under the name uncultured bacterium. RNAcentral's name for it is "partial 16S ribosomal RNA". It matches the Rfam family "Bacterial small subunit ribosomal RNA", at positions 9 to 255 of the family's 1533-position model. The record is from RNAcentral.